Molecule: ribosomal RNA, 192 nt
Filed under: uncultured bacterium
Lineage: Bacteria
Description: partial 16S ribosomal RNA
Rfam family: Bacterial small subunit ribosomal RNA
Source: RNAcentral
ACUCCUACGGGAGGCAGCAGUAGGGAAUAUUGGACAAUGGGUGCGAGCCUGAUCCAGCCAUGCCGCGUGCAGGAAGACGGCCUUCUGGGUUGUAAACUGCUUUUGCCAGGGGAUAAAAAGUCCCUGCGGGGAAAAUUGAAGGUACCUGGUGAAUAAGCCACGGCUAACUACGUGCCAGCAGCCGCGGUAAUA